CGCAGGAAGUGACAUUUCUGUUGACUAAUGUUCAGGUUAACAGCGGUGAAGCUCAAGUGUUUCACAGCUUUCAGAUUUGCACACAGGAUGGCUGGAAUUGUUCACAUUGUCACGAGGCUGCUGCUGUUGCUGCUGCUAUCUUUUAUCAUGACAGGUAAAUUAAACAUUAACCCAAUCUUAUCUCGUGAUAGUUUCAAAAUCUCAUCUGGGACAUCGAGUAGAAAAUCUGAUCCUCUUUAUCUUCCUCUCCAGGUCUAAAUGGAGAAGAUGGUCUGAUAUUUGCUGGACGAGCUUAUGAUAAUGCAUCUCCGUGUGAGGAAGGUUUAGUCUGCUUUCCUAUAAGGAGGAUCAGCACAAGCCGAACAAAUGAUUACAUUACCAUAGUCAGUAAUGUAGAGACAGCUAUAUCAGAGGACGAGGACUUAAAAUGCACUCUAGAUGUUGGACGUCAUCCCUGCCAGCGAAGGCCAGAUGUCUUCUCUCCUCACAACACCAUCCCAGAGUUAAUCCUCAUGCCUGGCAAAACAGUGUCAUUGCGGUGUGUUAUGCUCGCCUACGUGGAGAAGCAACAUUGCUAUUCACAGCGUUGGACGGUCAGGCUGACAUGGGUGGAUGAAGCCGGCACUAACAUAGAAGAGGACUCACAACACCAGAUAAUACAGGAGUCUUAUUGUGAUAUAACUCUGACCGUCACCCUUCAAAGUCCUGGAAACAAGAAAGUUUAGGUGCCAGGCGAGCACGACUAAACAAGUCCUGACUUCAGUGGAGUUGGGGGUCCGAGUCCCAGGUCUGUACGAUUGAUCCUAAUCAUUAAACUCCUAGGUGUUAAAUGCAAACAAUUGAUCGUAACAAAUGUUAUAUUCUUUGUAGCUCCUAAUGGGAGGGGAAGAGGACUCAUCAUAGAACCUGAAAAUCAAGGUACAGCAUUAUUCUCAUAUACAAAUUAACCUUUUUGUAAAGCCAUGCUCAGUUCCCAGUGAACAUCCCCCAAUAUGUAGCCUAAAUGUACAGUCACACCAAGACAGGUAGACAUUUUUAUUAAUACUCCAUCUAAUUCUUUUUUAAUCUACGUUAGGGUUAAUAUUAUCUGGAUUAUUGUGGAAUGCACUGCACAGUUUGCGUACGCUAUUGAGUUGCCAAAACACAAAGGGACACAGAAU
This 1160-nucleotide long non-coding RNA is filed under the name Cottoperca gobio. Its description in RNAcentral is "lncRNA (ENSCGOG00000019960.1)". Lineage: Eukaryota; Metazoa; Chordata; Actinopteri; Perciformes; Bovichtidae. The record is from RNAcentral.